Small nucleolar RNA from Pongo abelii (Sumatran orangutan), 101 nucleotides. The record is from Ensembl. Lineage: Eukaryota; Metazoa; Chordata; Mammalia; Primates; Hominidae.
AUCCUUUUGUAAGUCAUAAGUGUGAUUGGGUUUUCAUGCUCUUGUGUCAAAUGUGUCUCCCUCAAACCUUGUUACGAAGUGGGCACACCACCCGCCUGACA